UACGGAGGGUGCGAGCGUUGUCCGGAAUCACUGGGCGUAAAGGGCGCGUAGGCGGCGCGGGAAGUCAUCGGUGAAAGUUCAGGGCUCAACUCUGAAUCGGCCGGUGAUACUCUCGUGCUUGAGCACUGUAGAGGCAGGUGGAAUUCCGGGUGUAGCGGUGGAAUGCGUAGAGAUCCGGAAGAACACCGGUGGCGAAGGCGGCCUGCUGGGCAGUAGCUGACGCUGAUGCGCGACAGCGUGGG
This 242-nucleotide ribosomal RNA is filed under the name uncultured bacterium. RNAcentral's name for it is "partial 16S ribosomal RNA". It matches the Rfam family "Bacterial small subunit ribosomal RNA", at positions 524 to 765 of the family's 1533-position model. The record is from RNAcentral.